GAUGAACGCUAGCUACAGGCUUAACACAUGCAAGUCGAGGGGUAGCAGGGCAGCAAUACCGCUGACGACCGGCGCACGGGUGAGUAACACGUAUCCAACCUUCCCAUAACUCGGGGAUAGCCUUUCGAAAGAAAGAUUAAUACCCGAUAGUACUUUUUCAAGGCAUCUUGAGAAAGUUAAAGAUUUAUUGGUUAUGGAUGGGGAUGCGUUCCAUUAGAUAGUUGGUGAGGUAACGGCUCACCAAGUCUUCGAUGGAUAGGGGUUCUGAGAGGAAGGGCCCCCACAUUGGUACUGAGACACGGACCAAACUCCGACGGGAGGCAGCAGUGAGGAAUAUUGGUCAAUGGGCGAGAGCCUGAACCAGCCAAGUAGCGUGAAGGAUGAAGGUCCUAUGGAUUGUAAACUUCUUUUAUAGUAGAAUAAAGUGACCUACGUGUAGGUUUUUGUAUGUAUACUAUGAAUAAGGAUCGGCUAACUCCGUGCCAGCCGCCGCGGUAA
This 498-nucleotide ribosomal RNA is filed under the name uncultured bacterium. RNAcentral's name for it is "partial 16S ribosomal RNA". It matches the Rfam family "Bacterial small subunit ribosomal RNA", at positions 28 to 523 of the family's 1533-position model. The record is from RNAcentral.